AUGUGGCUCGAACACAUUCGCCGGCGCGGGUGGCAGGCGGCCGCCGCGGUCGAGGCCGACGCGGCCGAGGGCGGUGCUGUGCCGCCGGCGCAGG
RNAcentral lists this transfer RNA (94 nucleotides) under Mycobacterium stomatepiae. RNAcentral's name for it is "tRNA-Ala". The record is from RNAcentral. Lineage: Bacteria; Bacillati; Actinomycetota; Actinomycetes; Mycobacteriales; Mycobacteriaceae.